AACGAACGCUGGUGGCAUGCCUAACACAUGCAAGUCGAACGAGACCUUCGGGUCUAGUGGCGCACGGGUGCGUAACGCGUGGGAAUCUGCCCUUGGGUUCGGAAUAACAGUUGGAAACGACUGCUAAUACCGGAUGAUGACGUAAGUCCAAAGAUUUAUCGCCCAAGGAUGAGCCCGCGUAGGAUUAGCUAGUUGGUGAGGUAAAGGCUCACCAAGGCGACGAUCCUUAGCUGGUCUGAGAGGAUGAUCAGCCACACUGGGACUGAGACACGGCCCAGACUCCUACGGGAGGCAGCAGUGGGGAAUAUUGGACAAUGGGCGAAAGCCUGAUCCAGCAAUGCCGCGUGAGUGAUGAAGGCCUUAGGGUUGUAAAGCUCUUUUACCCGGGAUGAUAAUGACAGUACCGGGAGAAUAAGCUCCGGCUAACUCCGUG
Molecule: ribosomal RNA, 433 nt
Filed under: uncultured bacterium
Lineage: Bacteria
Description: partial 16S ribosomal RNA
Rfam family: Bacterial small subunit ribosomal RNA
Source: RNAcentral